RNAcentral lists this transfer RNA (100 nucleotides) under Streptococcus sp. Its description in RNAcentral is "tRNA-OTHER". It matches the Rfam family "tRNA". From Rfam's summary of the family: Transfer RNA (tRNA) molecules are approximately 80 nucleotides in length. Their secondary structure includes four short double-helical elements and three loops (D, anti-codon, and T loops). The record is from RNAcentral. Lineage: Bacteria; Bacillati; Bacillota; Bacilli; Lactobacillales; Streptococcaceae. RNAcentral also lists the same sequence under 2 other names.
GGCUCAUUAGAAUAGAUGGUAGUUCAUCCCCCUUCAGGAUAGGCACAUAAUCGUGGCUAUGCUGAAGGGGAAGGCAGAAGUUCGAAUCUUCUAUGAGUCA